AGCCUUGAGGUGUUACCACGUUAGAUUGCAAGUCUAAAGAAGCAGGAUAAUUACCUGCCGGGGCUU
Molecule: transfer RNA, 66 nt
Filed under: Sphyraena barracuda (great barracuda)
Lineage: Eukaryota; Metazoa; Chordata; Actinopteri; Sphyraenidae
Also listed under: 1 other name
Description: tRNA-Cys
Source: RNAcentral